RNAcentral lists this ribosomal RNA (338 nucleotides) under uncultured Prevotella sp. RNAcentral describes it as "bacterial SSU rRNA". It matches the Rfam family "Bacterial small subunit ribosomal RNA", at positions 8 to 338 of the family's 1533-position model. Lineage: Bacteria; Pseudomonadati; Bacteroidota; Bacteroidia; Bacteroidales; Prevotellaceae. The record is from RNAcentral.
AGAGUUUGAUCAUGGCUCAGGAUGAACGCUAGCUACAGGCUUAACACAUGCAAGUCGAGGGGCAGCAUAACGAAAGCUUGCUUUUGUUGAUGGCGACCGGCGCACGGGUGAGUAACGCGUAUCCAACCUUCCCUAUAGUAGAGAAUAGCCCGGCGAAAGUCGGAUUAAUGCUCUAUGUUCUUCUUUGAUGGCAUCUGAGGAGAAGCAAAGGUUCACCGCUAUAGGAUGGGGAUGCGUCUGAUUAGGUAGUCGGCGGGGUAACGGCCCACCGAGCCAACGAUCAGUAGGGGUUCUGAGAGGAAGGUCCCCCACAUUGGUACUGAGCCAGGAGCAAACUC